UGUCAUAUUCUGCAACACUGACGUAUCAGGUGACAGGUUUUCAGCAAAUCAGUGAUCCGAGAAUACUGCAGUGAGAAUGCUGUCAGCAGUUAACAGCUGUUUCGGGUGUGCGUCUUAAACUCCUCUCUUUUCAUUAAGAA
Long non-coding RNA from Thalassophryne amazonica, 140 nucleotides. RefSeq lists it as uncharacterized. The record is from RefSeq and is a predicted model, not a curated record. The transcript has 3 exons. Lineage: Eukaryota; Metazoa; Chordata; Actinopteri; Batrachoidiformes; Batrachoididae.